UGCCCUUUGUCCAAAGUGCUCUGUCCCA
This 28-nucleotide non-coding RNA is filed under the name Homo sapiens (human). Lineage: Eukaryota; Metazoa; Chordata; Mammalia; Primates; Hominidae. The record is from RNAcentral.